AUUGAACGCUGGCGGAAUGCUUUACACAUGCAAGUCGAACGGCAGCACGGGGGCAACCCUGGUGGCGAGUGGCGAACGGGUGAGUAAUACAUCGGAACGUGCCCGGUCGUGGGGGAUAACGUAGCGAAAGUUACGCUAAUACCGCAUACGAUCUGAGGAUGAAAGCGGGGGACCUUCGGGCCUCGCGCGAUCGGAGCGGUCGAUGUCAGAUUAGGUAGUUGGUGGGGUAAAGGCCUACCAAGCCGACGAUCUGUAGCUGGUCUGAGAGGACGACCAGCCACGCUGGGACUGAGACACGGCCCAGACUCCUACGGGAGGCAGCAGUGGGGAAUUUUGGACAAUGGGCGCAAGCCUGAUCCAGCCAUUCCGCGUGCAGGACGAAGGCCUUCGGGUUGUAAACUGCUUUUGUAUGGAACGAAAAGGCUCUGGCUAAUACCUGGGGCUCAUGACGGUACCGUAAGAAUAAGCACCGGCUAACUACGUG
Molecule: ribosomal RNA, 484 nt
Filed under: uncultured bacterium
Lineage: Bacteria
Description: partial 16S ribosomal RNA
Rfam family: Bacterial small subunit ribosomal RNA
Source: RNAcentral